CCUUCGAUAGCUCAGUUGGUAGAGCGGUGGACUGUAGCGUGAUAAGAGAGAAGAAAGAUCGCUCUCUCUCUUUGAAGUAGUAGUAAUCCAUAGGUCACUGGUUCAAAUCCGGUUCGAAGGA
Molecule: transfer RNA, 121 nt
Filed under: Anopheles farauti
Lineage: Eukaryota; Metazoa; Arthropoda; Insecta; Diptera; Culicidae
Description: tRNA tRNA-Tyr
Rfam family: tRNA
About the family: Transfer RNA (tRNA) molecules are approximately 80 nucleotides in length. Their secondary structure includes four short double-helical elements and three loops (D, anti-codon, and T loops).
Source: RNAcentral